Regulatory RNA element from Serratia fonticola, 302 nucleotides. It matches the Rfam family "Soft rot Enterobacteriaceae Rev 39 5'UTR". From Rfam's summary of the family: From bacteria cultured under starvation conditions. NCBI's taxonomy places the organism in Bacteria, Pseudomonadati, Pseudomonadota, Gammaproteobacteria, Enterobacterales, Yersiniaceae. The record is from Rfam.
AAGUGUUGUCAGGUUACCGGCUGCUAUGGUAACUCUGUAGGCAUUAGUUCGAAACGAGCACAGUGAACAAACCGAUUAUGAAAGCCCUAGCCCAAGUGAUUAGCCUAGUCGUGAUUAGCGUGGUGGUGAUUAUUAUCCCACCGUGCGGGGCUGCACUUGGACGAAGAAAGGCUUAGAAAACAAGCCGGAAUCGCAAGAUAACCCCCGCACCCAAAAGGUCCGGGGGUUUUUUUAUGCCAAGAAAAUGUGAACAAGGAGCAGAGAAUGACCAACAGAAUAAAAUCCUGCGCUUCCCGCAACAA